RNAcentral lists this ribosomal RNA (466 nucleotides) under uncultured bacterium. Its description in RNAcentral is "partial 16S ribosomal RNA". It matches the Rfam family "Bacterial small subunit ribosomal RNA", at positions 28 to 507 of the family's 1533-position model. The record is from RNAcentral.
GAUGAACGCUGGCGGCGUGCUUAACACAUGCAAGUCGAACGGAAAGGCCACAGCUUGCUGUGGUACUCGAGUGGCGAACGGGUGAGUAACACGUGGGUGAUCUGCCCUGUACUUCGGGAUAAGCUUGGGAAACUGGGUCUAAUACCGGAUAGGAAUCACAUGUGGGUGUGUGGUUGGAAAGCUUUUGCGGUAUGGGAUGAGCUCGCGGCCUAUCAGCUUGUUGGUGGGGUAAUGGCCUACCAAGGCGUCGACGGGUAGCCGGCCUGAGAGGGUGUACGGCCACAUUGGGACUGAGAUACGGCCCAGACUCCUACGUGAGGCAGCAGUGGGGAAUAUUGCACAAUGGGCGCAAGCCUGAUGCAGCGACGCCGCGUGGGGGAUGACGGCCUUCGGGUUGUAAACUCCUUUCGUCAGGGACGAAGCGAAAGUGACGGUACCUGGAUAAGAAGCACCGGCUAACUACGUG